This 207-nucleotide transfer-messenger RNA is filed under the name Ancylobacter novellus DSM 506. Its description in RNAcentral is "Starkeya novella DSM 506 transfer-messenger RNA Stark_novel_506". It matches the Rfam family "Alphaproteobacteria transfer-messenger RNA", at positions 148 to 355 of the family's 355-position model. Rfam says of the family: Bacterial tmRNA, also known as 10Sa RNA or SsrA, is named for its dual tRNA and mRNA-like properties. Its role is to liberate the mRNA from a stalled ribosome. Lineage: Bacteria; Pseudomonadati; Pseudomonadota; Alphaproteobacteria; Hyphomicrobiales; Xanthobacteraceae. The record is from RNAcentral.
GGGGGCGAAACAGGAUCGACGGGGGCGUAAAGGGCAUUCUUUCGCUCGGCAUGGUACCGCCGUCAUCGGACCAAACUUAUAGUUGCCAACGACAACUAUGCUCCGGUUGCUCAGGCCGCGUGAGCGGUUUGAUCUACGGAAAAUAAGUCCUAGCGGGUAGCACCGUCGGGCGGGGUUCGGAGGCACCUGGCAACAGAAGCCUCCACU